UACGUAGGGUGCGAGCGUUGUCCGGAAUUAUUGGGCGUAAAGAGCUCGUAGGUGGCCUGUCGCGUCGGCUGUGAAAACUCGGGGCUCAACUCCGAGCUUGCAGUCGAUACGGGCAGGCUAGAGUUCGGCAGGGGGAGACUGGAAUUCCUGGUGUAGCGGUGAAAUGCGCAGAUAUCAGGAGGAACACCGGUGGCGAAGGCGGGUCUCUGGGCCGAUACUGACACUGAGGAGCGAAAGCGUGGGGAGCGAACAGG
This 254-nucleotide ribosomal RNA is filed under the name uncultured bacterium. Its description in RNAcentral is "partial 16S ribosomal RNA". It matches the Rfam family "Bacterial small subunit ribosomal RNA", at positions 524 to 776 of the family's 1533-position model. The record is from RNAcentral.